AGCAGCCGCGGUAAUUCCAGCUCCAAUAGCGUAUAUUAAAGUUGUUGCAGUUAAAAAGCUCGUAGUUGAAUUUCGGGGUCAAUACGUCGGUCGUGCCUUCGGUAUGUACUGGUGUUAUUGAUCUCUCCCUUCUGAUGAAUCAUGAUGUCAUUAAUUUGGUGUCGUGGGGAGUCAGGACUGUUACUUUGAAAAAAUUAGAGUGUUUAAAGCAGGCUCACGCUUGAAUACAUUAGCAUGGAAUAAUGAAAUAGGACGUUCGAUCCUAUUUUGUUGGUUUCUAGGAUCAACGUAAUGAUUAAUAGGGAUAGUUGGGGGCAUUAGUAUUCAAUUGUCAGAGGUGAAAUUCUUGGAUUUAUUGAAGACUAACUACUGCGAAAGCAUUUGCCAAGGAUGUUUUCAUUAAUCAAGAACGAAAGUUAGGGGAUCGAAGACGAUCAGAUACCGUCGUAG
Molecule: ribosomal RNA, 450 nt
Filed under: uncultured Glomeromycotina
Lineage: Eukaryota; Fungi; Glomeromycota
Description: SSU rRNA
Rfam family: Eukaryotic small subunit ribosomal RNA
Source: RNAcentral